This 470-nucleotide ribosomal RNA is filed under the name uncultured bacterium. RNAcentral describes it as "partial 16S ribosomal RNA". It matches the Rfam family "Bacterial small subunit ribosomal RNA", at positions 29 to 507 of the family's 1533-position model. The record is from RNAcentral.
ACGAACGCUGGCGGCGUGCUUAACACAUGCAAGUCGAACGAUGAAGCCUAGCUUGCUAGGUGGAUUAGUGGCGAACGGGUGAGUAAUACGUGAGUGACCUACCUUUGACUCUGGGAUAAGCCUGGGAAACUGGGUCUAAUACCGGAUACGACCAAUCUCCGCAUGGGGUGUUGGUGGAAAGCGUUAUGGAGUGGUUUUAGAUGGGCUCACGGCCUAUCAGCUUGUUGGUGAGGUAAUGGCUUACCAAGGCGACGACGGGUAGCCGGCCUGAGAGGGUGACCGGCCACACUGGGACUGAGACACGGCCCAGACUCCUACGGGAGGCAGCAGUGGGGAAUAUUGCACAAUGGGCGCAAGCCUGAUGCAGCGACGCCGCGUGAGGGAUGACGGCCUUCGGGUUGUAAACCUCUGUUAGCAUCGAAGAAGCGAAAGUGACGGUAGGUGCAGAGAAAGCGCCGGCUAACUACGUG